RNAcentral lists this ribosomal RNA (293 nucleotides) under uncultured Pseudomonadota bacterium. RNAcentral describes it as "uncultured proteobacterium partial 16S ribosomal RNA". It matches the Rfam family "Bacterial small subunit ribosomal RNA", at positions 1061 to 1354 of the family's 1533-position model. The record is from RNAcentral. Lineage: Bacteria; Pseudomonadati; Pseudomonadota.
CGUGUCNUNAGAUNUUGGGNUUAAGUCCCGCAAACGAGCGCAACCCUUGUCCCNUAGUUGCCAGCGUUCGGCCGGGAACUCUAGGGAGACUGCCGGUGAUAAACCUGAGGAAGGUGGGGAUGACGUCAAGUCAUCAUGCCCUUACGGCCCAGGGCCACACCCGUGCNNCAAUGGGCGGUACAAAGGUCGCGAACCCGCGAGGGGAGCCAAUCCCAAAAAGCCGCUCGCAGUCCGGAUCGGAGUCUGCAACCCGACUCCGUGAAGUCGGAAUCGNUAGUAAUCGCGGAUCAGCA